Molecule: unclassified non-coding RNA, 331 nt
Filed under: Epithamnolia sp.
Lineage: Eukaryota; Fungi; Ascomycota; Leotiomycetes; Phacidiales
Also listed under: 1 other name
Description: partial contains 5.8S ribosomal RNA, internal transcribed spacer 2, and large subunit ribosomal RNA
Source: RNAcentral
AACGCAAAUUGCGCUCGAGGCUUCGGCCAAGAGCAUGUCUGCCUCAGCGUCGGCUACUACCCUCAACUAAGUUUCCUAUCAUUGAUAGGGGAUGCCAGUUGGAUCUGGCCGUCCGGUUUACCUUUCAGGUUGCCGGUCAGCUGAAAUACAUUCACGCUCUGGGGGCUGCUUUCCUCGAAAGGCUACUUUCGAGGGGAGGUGAGUUCCGAUUUGGUAGGUGACCUUUGCCGGUUGCAUGCCUUCGUUGCCCGCUAAGCUUCCCAGUAGUCGUUGUGCAGGACGCCUUUUGGCUUUCGACCUGAGGUCAGGCAAGAACACCCGCUGAACUUAA